CGAAGCCUUUUUGCAAGGUGCAACACGUUGAUAGUAGAGCAAUGGAUCCCGCUCCGUCCAGCCGUCCAGAAGCAAGCCGCUAGAGCCGCGCCAUACGGUCACCUGGAAGCAAGCGACGGGGAGUCGGGACGUCUGCUGGCAGACGAACACCACCGCUAUACCGCGGCUAAAACCGGGACUGAGCAAUCCUUUGUUCCGUUUAGGAACUUUGUUCCCCACUGUGAAAAGGAUGGGUGUCUGACGUCAAUUCCGGGACCAAACAGGCUGAAGUGAUCGCAAGGGCUGAGUCACUUCACCCAACCUACCUACAAUCUCUUGGAAUAGCAGCACAACACAGAGCCAACAAGCUACUGUGCGUCAUCCGCAUUGGAGAGGAUAGACACUGGACAGGUGCAUCGGCAGCUCUGGAGCAGAUGGACACUGGACAGGUGCGUCAUUGGUACUGGAGCAGCUGGACACUGGACAGGUGCGUCGGCAGCACUGAAGAGGAUGGACACUGGACAUCCACAUAAUGGACACAGCACUGGCACUUCUGGAUUGACACAACACAGCCACUUUAUAUGAACACUAGCAGCACAGCCACUUUAGAUCGACACAGGCAGCACAGCCACUUGUAUAUGGAGUCUGGAUACAGCACAGCCACUUGUAUGGAUGGACACAGCACAGCCACUUGUAUGGAGUCUGAACACAGUCUGGACAAAGCACAGCCACUUGAACCAGCAAAGGACAGUGCAACAAACAGCAGCGUGCCUGAGAGUUAAAUGGUGCCAAGUCAUCAUCACGGGUCCAUUGUAUAGAAUCCAAAACCCACAAUAAUCCAACACUGGGAUGAUGGCAUUUUGCCUUAAUUUAGAAUCUGAGUAUUGUGGGAAACCUGAGUUGUGGCUCGGUUUGACUCGAAUACCAGAAGUUCAGACGGGCUCAGAUUCCAAGGAAUCCAAACCGCUCAUCUCUGGUUCCUGCUAACCACUUUUCUGUCUUUUUUAAACUUCCAGUUACUUUUCUGCCUUCUGAUUUGGUUAGAUUUAUUCAGCUUCAUAAUUCCUGCUAUACCGCUCAUAAUUUGUGCUCUUGCCCAAGUCUCAGACGACCAUUUAAAAGAAAAAAAGACAAAAGUUUGUAGUUUCAGCACAUGUGGACUCGUUACCACAUUUGUUCAAGAAUCAUCUCUAAGUUUUGUUAUUUGAGCAUGACUUGGUGAUUUGGGAAAUCACAGGAGAAAGAAUUAGGGAGCUAGCACAAGAUACACAGAUUUUAAUGAGUCAUUUACAGUCAACUUUGCCCACUGAAAUGGCAAUCCAAACCACAAAAUUCAGAUUUAAAAUCCGAAAUCCGACACUACGGGAAGAUCCAAAAGCAGGACUUAGUUCGACUUGAAGCCCCUACAUUCAGUAACGAGUGACGGCCGCGGCGCUGUUCCCCAGGCAACGGAAUAGAACGCGUAUGGCUUCAGCGUCUCCGAGGCAACCGUCUGACAGGAAACGCGUCAGUAUGGGACCCUCCUCACUACCGGCCGGGCGGGAGCAGCGGGCGUCCGUGCACCGGACUGCACACACUCGUAUUUAAAGGUCCACCAGCUGUUGUUUGGCCAUUCCUGGUGGCCUUCUUGCACCCCACCACAUCCUUAAAUGCAUACUGAGCCAAUGACACCUCCUUGUGAACAGCCAAAUAGUACUUUCUCGCUUACAAGAGUCACAAUACAGCAACGCCACCAACAGCCUGAGCCUCAGUCCCUCGCCAGCUGCUACUCCACCCAGGCAUGGGGCCUGCACCGGAGGUGGCACAAGGUCCCCAAGCCCGAAACCUACUAAAAGGCAAAGUUAAAAAAGCAGUAUUCACUUAAACCUUUACUUUACACCAUUACUAAUUUUAGUGAUAUUAUACUUAUUGUUUUGCUCUAUAAAUCAUUGUUUUAUAUUUCUAUGAGCACUAUAAGGCUUUUGCCUACAAAACCAUUUGAAAAAGGUGUGACUUAAUAAAAGAGCAACACUUUUUGUCUGUUA
Pseudophryne corroboree (corroboree frog) is the source of this 2003-nucleotide long non-coding RNA. RefSeq lists it as uncharacterized. The record is from RefSeq and is a predicted model, not a curated record. Lineage: Eukaryota; Metazoa; Chordata; Amphibia; Anura; Myobatrachidae. The transcript has 9 exons.